This 532-nucleotide ribosomal RNA is filed under the name uncultured bacterium. RNAcentral describes it as "partial 16S ribosomal RNA". It matches the Rfam family "Bacterial small subunit ribosomal RNA", at positions 355 to 882 of the family's 1533-position model. The record is from RNAcentral.
CUAAGAAUAUUCCGCAAUGGACGGAAGUCUGACGGAGCGACGCCGCGUGGAUGAAGAAGGCCGAAAGGUUGUAAAGUUCUUUUGCUGGGGAAGAAUAACCGCAGGAGGGAAUGCCUGUGGGAUGACAAGAACCGGCGAAUAAGCCCCGGCCAACUACGUGCCAGCAGCCGCGGUAACACGUAGGGGGCGAGCGUUGUUCGGAAUUACUGGGCGUAAAGGGCAUGUAGGCGGCUUGGAAAGCCUGGCGUGAAAGUCUGCAGCUUAACUGCAGGGGUGCGCUGGGAACUGCUGAGCUUGAGUGACGGAGAGGGAGCUGGAAUUCCUGGUGUAGGGGUGAAAUCUGUAGAUAUCAGGAAGAACACCGAUGGCGAAGGCAAGCUCCUGGCCGAUGACUGACGCUGAGGUGCGAAAGUGUGGGGAUCAAACAGGAUUAGAUACCCUGGUAGUCCACACAGUCAACGAUGUGCACUAGGUGCUGGGGCGGUAGCUUCGGUGCCGGAGCGAACGUGGUAAGUGCACCGCCUGGGGAGUA